GACGAACGCUGGCGGCGUGCUUAACACAUGCAAGUCGAGCGGUAAGGCCCUUUCGGGGGUACACGAGCGGCGAACGGGUGAGCAACACGUGGGUGACCUGCCCUCAGCUCUGGGAUAAGCCUGGGAAACCGGGUCUAAUACCGGAUAUGACUCCAUGACGCAUGUUGUGGGGUGGAAAGCCUUGUGCGGCUGAGGAUGGGCCCGCGGCCUAUCAGCUUGUUGGUGGGGNGAUGGCCUACCAAGGCGACGACGGGUAGCCGGCCUGAGAGGGCGACCGGCCACACU
Molecule: ribosomal RNA, 285 nt
Filed under: uncultured bacterium
Lineage: Bacteria
Description: partial 16S ribosomal RNA
Rfam family: Bacterial small subunit ribosomal RNA
Source: RNAcentral